RNAcentral lists this long non-coding RNA (6776 nucleotides) under Triticum aestivum (bread wheat). RNAcentral describes it as "long non-coding RNA (TAES_LNC015145)". The record is from RNAcentral. Lineage: Eukaryota; Viridiplantae; Streptophyta; Magnoliopsida; Poales; Poaceae.
UUUUUUUUUCGUUUUUGGUUUUUGGUUUGCAAUUUCUUAGUAAAAUGAUGGAUGAUUUAGUAUUGACUGCUAGGUUGUUUCUUUGCUUUUGUAAUGAGCAAUUGAAUGGUAUUUUUGUCACUUUCAUGGAAUAUUUUAAUGUAUGCUACCUCUUGAGCACUGCGUUGGUUUUCCCUUGAAGAGGAAAUAGUGAUGCAGCAAAGUAGCAUAAGUAUUUCCCUCAGUUUUUUAGAACCAAGGUAUCAAUCCAGUAGGAGGCCACACGCAAGUCCCUCGUACCUACACAAACAAAUAAGAAUCUCGCAACCAACGCGAUAAAUGGGUUGUCAAUCCCUUCACGGUCACUUAUGAGAGUGAGAUCUGAUAGAGAUAAUAAUAAUAAGAUAAAUAUUUUUGAUAUUUUUAUGAUAUAGAUUGAAAGUAAAGAUUGCAAAGUAAAAAUAGAUUGGAAACUUAUAUGAUGGAAAAUAGACCCGGGGGCCAUAGGUUUCACUAGUGGCUUCUCUCAAGAUAGCAUAAGUAUUACGGUGGGUGAACAAAUUACUGUCGAGCAAUUGAUAGAAAAGCGAAUAAUUAUGAGAAUAUCGAGGCAUGAUCAUGUAUAUAGGCAUCACGUCCAUGACAAGUAGACCGACUCCUGCCUGCAUCUACUACUAUUACUCCACACAUCGACCGCUAUCCAGCAUGCAUCUAGAGUAUUAAGUUCAUAAGAACAGAGUAACGCAUUAGGUAAGAUGACAUGAUGUAGAGGGAUAAACUCAAGCAAUAUGAUAUAAACCCCAUCUUUUUAUCCUCGAUGGCAACAAUACAAUACGUGUCGUUUCCCUUUCUGUCACUAGGAUCAAGCACCGCAAGAUUGAACCCAAAGCUAAGCACUUCUCCCAUUGCAAGAAAGAUCAAUCUAGUAGGCCAAACCAAACCGAUAAUUCGAAGAGACUUGCAAAGAUAACCAAUCACACAUAAAAGAUUUCAGAUAAGAAUCAAAUAUUGUUCAUAGAUAAACUUGAUCAUAAACCCACAAUUCAUCGGAUCUCGACAAACACACCGUAAAAAGAGUUACAUCGAAUAGAUCUCCAAAAAGAACGAGGAGAACUUUGUAUUGAGAUUCAAAGAGAGAGAAGAAGCCAUCUAGCUAAUAACUAUGGAGCCGGAGGUCUGAAGUAAACUACUCACACAUCAUCGAAUGGGCCAUGGAGUUGAUGUAGAGGCCCUCCGUGAUUGUUGCCCCCUCCGGCGGAGCUCCGGAAAAGGUCCCAAGAUGGGAUCUCUUGGGUACAUAAGGUUGCGGCGAUGGAAAUAGGGUUUCGUGAUGCUCCUGGAUGUUUUCAGGGUAUGAGAACAUAUAUAGUUGGAAGAAGUAGGUCGGUUGAGUCACGAGGGGCCCACGAGGGGGGAGGGCGCGCCCAGGGGUAGGCGCGCCCCCCUGCCUCGUGGACACCUCGUUCGUUUCUUGACGUCCACCUUAAGUCCUCUGGAUCACGUUUGUUCCAAAAAUCACACUCCCGAAGGUUUUAUUCUGUUUGGACUCCGUUUGAUAUUCCUUUUCUACGAAACACUGAAAUAGGCAAAAAAAAUAGCAAUUUGCACUGGGCCUUGGGUUAAUAGAUUAGUCUCAAAAAUAAUAUAAAAGUGUAAAAUAAAGCCCAUUAACAUCUAAAACAGAUAAUAUAAUAGCAUGGAACAAUCAAAAAUUAUAGAUACGUUGGAGACAUAUCAAUGUAAGACACUCACUCAGCUUCAGCGGCAUUUCUAUGUCAAUACCAUAUCUGAACAAGAAAUGUCGAGGUGGUGUAGGAGCUCGAGGAGGUGGAGGAGGUCAAGGAGAGUCAAGUAAACAAGAAGAGGAGUAGGUCGUGCAACUACAAGAUCGAGGAAGAUAGAUGUUUUGCGUGAAGGUUGGCUCGCCAUCUCUCUUGAUGCCAUGGUCGGUGUCGACCGGACAAAGGAGAAAUUUUGGCAAAGGAUCGAGGAUACUACAAUAAUAAUGUGACCAUUCCCUCCAACCGCACAGUCAGGUCUCUCGCACAUGGUUGGACUUUGACCCAAAACCAAUGCAACCAAUGGGCCUGAUGUGUUGCACAGGUCAACCUCGUGUCGCCAAGUGGAGUGCUUGUCAACGAGUAUGAGCCCGUCAUGCAAGAUUUUUACAAGUAAAGAAACAAGAAAAAUGGCUCCAAACCGUUUACUUUGCACCAUUGCUACUCAGAGAUUGAUGGAUAUGAGAAGUGGGCAAGAAGAAACUUUGAAACCACACCAAAGAGGCAAAGUCUCGACACCAAUGUUGAUGAUGAUGAUGACUUGGUAGAGAACCUAUCCACUCCUCAUGUGUGUCGGGAUGGAUCAAAAUAUGCAAGGCAUGCCAAGAAGAAUGAUGGUGUUGGAGCAUACAAAUAAGAGUUGUUUAAAAAUGGUGAAGGUGAGAAGGGCAUUGAUGGCCGGAGGGAAGGAGGAGAAGAUGACUAGUUUCUAUGAGAUGAAGUUGAUGGAGGAGAAGUGGAAGGCAAAGACAACGGUUGAGGAUAGAAAGGUGCUAGCGGGGGAGAAAACUUUGAACUUGAGGACGAAAAACUUUAAUUGGAGGCCGAGGAAAAAGUAUUGAGAUUGAGGAGCAAAAGUUUGCCAUGGCGGCCGAGGAGCAAAGGAACUAGAGGGUGGCCGAUGACGUGCUAUCAUGUGGAUGGAUCCUAGCAAGAUGCACAAGAAGGCGAGAAAAUAUUGGGACUUCACUCGUGAGACAUCUUGACUAAGAUGUGUGGUGGCGGCAGCAAUGGUGAUGGCGGUAGUUUUCUAGAAUGAAUUCAACGAACUUUAUGUAUGCUUGUAGCAGAAUUAGGAUGUGGUGCAUUAGCAUUGUCUAUGUACCCCCUCCGUCCCAAAAAUAAGUGUCUUUAAUUUAGUAUAACUUUGCACUUAUUUUGGGACGGUGUGAGUAUGUGUUAAAGUGUGAUGAAUUUGUUUCAAUUGUUUGAACAAAUGUUUAGACGAUUCAGCAAAAUAAUUUUCUUUAAUAUAGAAUCUGAGGAAACGUCAUGUUCUUACUAGAAUUUAGAGAAAUGAGAUAUGGAGAUGGUUUUGGACAUUCAGGAUCGUGGAUCUAGUAGAGAUGCCCUACAAACAUUCAUGCUUUCCCCAAAAAAAGUCAUUGCAGAAUUGUUUGUCUAGCUCUGCCACUGCCGGCGAGCACCUAGAAACUCCCCCUUCCUCCUCUAACGGUCCAGCCGUCAGCCCUGCUACUAUAUGAUCCAUUUUUCAAAGAAAAAAUAUAUGCAAGAAGAACGUACGUAGCAGCACCAAAAGUUACACUUGGCAGACUGGUCCUAGGCAACUAAGGACGUACUGGUUCUAGGUGGUUUCCUUUUAUCCUCGGCCUUUGGCUACAGCACUUGUUACACUUUCUUGUGCUGUAAUCAGUGAAUGUGAAUGCAGCGCUGACUGCUUGUUACACCUGACUGCAUUCCCUGCAACGCACUCCACCAGUUGGCAGAAACAUUUGUACAGAAGCAUUGCAUAUGACAGACUCCACAAGCACUUGUACCGAAGCAUUCUGUAUGACUCAUGCUCAUCUGGUCGAAGGAUGAACGAAUACUCAGAGACGGGGCUUCAUCACUACCCAGGCAGCCGAACACCACAUGUGAAAUACUUGGCCCUCGCAAGGCCUGAUGUUAUCGUGACGAUUGUGUACGUAGCUGAACCUGCAGUGACAACAUAGCUGUAAGAAAUUUUUCUAAUCCUCAGCACUGUAGGCACUCCAAAGAAUUAACAAUAAGAAAAUGAAAGAAUAAAGAAGAGACUGAUGGAGUAGAUACGUACCGAGAGCAGUCAGCGUCCGCUAUCAGUGGAGCAGUGAAGACUCGACUGUCGUCUGUUUGAUUAGGAAGAACAAUGCCAGUCCUCCCGGGCCCGAUCAUUCUGGUCUCUGGAAACGCAGGUGGAUCACCAGGGACAACUCUGUAAAUGCCAGCCAAAUUUGGUAAAACUCCUCCACUUUUCACUAUGUAAAGACUGGCAAGAUUUUCAAUCAGAGAAAAGCUGUUUCCAACUGCUUCCACAGCACCCUCCCACUCUAUGAGAUGUAGUAGACCAUCUUCCUCCUGCGUCACCGAGCAGAGACAUCCAUUGUCAGAUAACCAAAACAAAGCAUUUUGGUGGAUGAUGAGGCUGUGUAUGCCUAAAUGUCCGCAUACUACAGCACUCUGCUGCCAAACACCAUCCAUUGUUCUUAGCCAAAAUUCAGUGACGAUAUCGGCUUCUCCGCCACCUUCAUCUGCAUUAUCAUCGGCAUCUACUUGAGCAAAUAUCCUUUGCCUAGCGAGCACUAGAGUAAGAUCUGAACUAGGGGUUCCAUUGAAAUAGCCCUGUUCAAUUUCCACCCCCACAUGGAAGUUGAGUAAACGCUUCUCUGACCUCACUUCCCACAGCGAAACAUAUGUGCCCUCUUUGAGUAGAAAGAAGAAAUAUCCAUUUGAGUUGCGCUCCUCUCUCUCUCUNNNNNNNNNNNNNNNNNNNNNNNNNNNNNNNNNNNNNNNNNNNNNNNNNNNNNNNNNNNNNNNNNNNNNNNNNNNNNNNNNNNNNNNNNNNNNNNNNNNNNNNNNNNNNNNNNNNNNNNNNNNNNNNNNNNNNNNNNNNNNNNNNNNNNNNNNNNNNNNNNNNNNNNNNNNNNNNNNNNNNNNNNNNNNNNNNNNNNNNNNNNNNNNNNNNNNNNNNNNNNNNNNNNNNNNNNNACCCACCCCGCAACGGACACCAGAUUGUUCAACCCUGCUUGCACACAAUACCACCAAACACAAACUGUAUUUUUCAGAGAAAAGAAUUGUAAAUUGCAGGGUUUUACUUUUAUUCUUUGAUGAGAGCUAGAAACUCGGUUGCCUGUUUUAGUCAUUGGUGAUUUUUUUUUAUUUUUUUAUUUUUGCGGAUAGUGUGUGAUGUUUAAAACCGUUGGAUUUUGAUUCAAUGGUAAAUCCAUCUUUUUCUUAUCUUUCUCUCACCAUCACAGCUUGCCUCCGCCACACACGGCCUCUGCCCUCAUUUGUUUUUAGAAAAAGGAGGAAUCUUCCCCGGCUUCUGCAUCUGGGAGAUGCAUGCGGCCAUAUUAUUUAUUAUUCACAAAGACCUUACAAAGAAAUACAACAGUAAUCCCGAGGCCACCAUCUAAAAGACACCUGUCGCUACUCCUGUCCUCUUUAUGAAGGUGUGCCGAAUGUCCAGGCCAAAUACCAAACAGACAUCGCACAAAAGCCUAAUAUCUAACGCUAGAUGCCCCAUCCAAAGCCACAUAGGCGGGACUGGGUAACACUCGGGUUCGGCGCACUCUCAGUGAGUACCACACGCACACGCUGCAAAGGGCCGUCACCUCCAUCUUCCCUCGAUCCAUCCUCAAAGUAUGUACUGACGUAUCGACCUUGUCAGGCCUCUCUACCAUCGACGCCACCACAGCCUCUGCCCUCAUCAUCCAGUCAAAUUUUUCAGAAGCAAAAGCAAAGAAGAGUGACGAUAUAGAAAAAGCGUAUGUGGCGACUUGAUGUAUGGUUUACAGUCUCAUGGUUCGUCUCCGUGGUUUUUGUUGCCACCGUGGAUUUGGUGGUGUCUGAUGUUGUGUGUCGAGGUGUUCUCGAUGGACGUAACUUUAGCGAUGGCCUGAUCCAUGUGUCAGGGUUUUGCAGUUAUAGCGUGUCGGGAGAGUUUGAUGGUUUGCCUAUGCGGGCUGGAGAUUCCUACUUUGCGAGUAGUUCGCAUGUGGUCAAAUAUUGGCCUGAUCCAUGUGCCAGGGGUUUGCAGUUGUAGCAUGUUGGGAGAGUUUGGUGGUUUGCGUGUGCGGGCCGGAGAUUCAUACUUUGCGAGUAGUUCGCAUGUGGUCAAAUUUGCAUUGUUUUUGCACCGUUUUUCAUCAACUCUUACUCUUUUCUCUCAGUUAAUCGAUGAAGCAAAUCUUUUGCCUCUGAUUUGAAAACAAAGAGACACUGGUACCCGUGAACGCAAUAUUUUGCUAUUGCUCCAUUUUCUUGGUCAUCACCUCCUCUCCCAUGACCCUGAACUUCUCCUGCUAAAUGGCAACCUUGCGCUCCUCAAGUUCCUUGAGCUCCAUCCAUCCAGGUGUCCUUUCUUGUUUCCUCCAUUUCCUUCCUUAUUGUGAUCAUCUUGUAGCAUCUCCUUGUACAGAAAUCAUCUUCUCCUUUCUUGCAUCCUCCCUGGAGACCUCAUCUGCAUUCGCGCCUCUGAUCUUCGAGUGGAACUCCCCCUCCCCUCAUCAUUAUCUUCAUCGCCAACAUAUUGUACAUCUUCAAACUUAGGAGAUGAGAAAUGACUCGACUCCCAGGAUAAGAUAACAAAGGGAUCACAUAAUUAGGGCCUGCUCCAACAUUACUCAGUCAAGGCGCACCUAGUCCCACCAUACCAUACCAUACGAGCAUACAUAUAUAUGCAGUACAAGCAACACGUCCUAACAAGUCUCAAAAAAGCUACCAAACCUAUAUUAUCUGGGGGAUACUACGGCCUACGCCAUUGCCAUGGGCAUCAUAUUCACACCACCAAAACUCGAUGCUUCCGGCAUCCGAUCUGAUCAACCACGUCCAUCGUCGCCUCCUCAAUUCGAUGUUCGUCGAGGGCAAAAUGAAACCAAACCCACAGGAAGACCCGGAGGAAGCUGCCGCCUACGACCGGGCUCACAGCAGCACGUGCUCGACGUCGUUGGGGAACCGCUGAGGCUGGCCGCGGCGUGGCCAGCUGGGUGGAGACGGUGGACGGAUCGACGCCGAAUCUUGCUGCAUGGUUCUCUUCUUGGG